AGCCACUCCCUAAUACCACGGGGAAGAUUCAGGCAUGAGGAAGACAGUGAUGGUGAGAGGAGACACAGGUAACUCUGCCUGCUGGUACCGCACACUUCUCAGCCCCUGGAUGCAGUUGAAGCUGAACUCAGAGGCAGCGCUGACCGAUUGGACUUCACACUCCAGGAAGGAGAUGUCGGCCCCUGAGCCUAGCGAGGGCAAGCACAGGAAGUCUUCCCUGAUCUUCCCUUGCUCCCGUCACAAAGCAGAUACCUUGUGCUGCCUGGCAGGACUGCAGUCUCAUCCCACUCCUCCCCGCAGAUUCUCAUCUGAGUGCGGGACCAAGGUCCUAUCCACAUUCACACUGCCAGCGUCUGUACCCUUUUGGCUUCUGGAGAAUGCUACUCCAUGUGCAUGUGGGAGAUGACAGAGGGCAUAUCUAGAUGCAUGAUGUUCUAGGACCUUCUCCAAGGCCUCAGCAUCCCUAUUCCUCCUGACACCGUUUCACUAAGUGUCGUAUCAGCC
This is a long non-coding RNA of Hipposideros armiger (great roundleaf bat), 504 nucleotides long. RefSeq lists it as uncharacterized. Lineage: Eukaryota; Metazoa; Chordata; Mammalia; Chiroptera; Hipposideridae. The transcript has 3 exons. The record is from RefSeq and is a predicted model, not a curated record.